UUUCUUGGCCACUUGUCUGUCUUAUUUUGAGAUGUGUCAUUCGUAUCCUUUGCCCACAUUUUUUUUUUUUUUUCUGAGAUGGAGUCUCACUCUGUUGCCAGGCUGGAGUGCAGUGGCAUGAUCUCGAUUCACUGCAGCCUCUGCCUCCUGGAUUGAAGUGAUUCUUCUGCCUCAGCCUCCUGAGUAGCUGGAACUACAGGCACGUGCCACCAUGCCUAGCUGAUUUUUGUAUUUUUAGUAGAGACGGUGUUUCACCAUGUUGGCCAGGAUGGUCUCGACCUCUUGACCUCGUGAUCCACCUGCCUUGGCCUCCCAGAGUGCUGGGAUUACAGAUAUAAGCCACUGUGCCCAGCCCUCUUUGCCCACUUUUUAAUGGGGUUAUUUGUCUUUUGCUUAUGGAAUUGUUUUAAGUUCCCUAUAGAUUCUGGAUAGUAGACCUUUGUCAGAUGCAUAGUUUGUGGAUAUUUUCUCCCAUUCUGUACGUUGUCUGUUUACUUUGUUGAUAGUUUCUUUUGCUGUGCAGAAUCUCUUUAGUUUAAUUAGGUCCUUCUUGUCCAUUUUUGUUUUUUUUUUUUGCAUUGCUUUUGGAGACUUAGUAAUAAAUUAUACUCCAAGGCCUGUGUCCAGAAUGAUAUUUCCUAGGUUUACUUCUAGGAUUUUUAUAGUUUGAUGUCAUACAUUUAAGUCUUUAAUCCAUCUCGAGUUAAUUUUUGUAUAUGGUGAAAGGAAGCUGAUGUUAUAAACUCACCACGGUUCCAUCUGUGCACAGGACCCAUGAGCCUCUAGGGAAGUACUACCCUCAGAGAAGAGAAUAUGAAGAGUCCCCAUUUGGCCCAAAGACGCCUAAAUACCUGACGUGUGACAGCAAAUGCCUGUUCCCAUGGAGCCGCUGCUUCUGAGAAAGCUUGAAACAGACAAAGAAUAAGGUAGAAAUGACCUCCUCACUAGAGAUGAAAAGAAGCUGUCCUGGUGAGGAAAUUGGAUCCCAGCUUUUGCCGCUAAGAUUCUUCUCUUCUGCCUCUGGUUUUCUUUAUUGUUCACCCCCAGAAGCAAUCGCUCUCUCACAAGGCAACACACGCAAUAGAGUGAACAGUGAUUCUACAGUCUGAUUCUGGAAAAGGCGACCACAUUGGAAAGAGUGAUCCACACAAGUAUAGGGCCUCCUGAUUAAAACGCUAAGAUUUCAUCUCACGCUGUGCCUUUAUACUGUUGAGAUACUAAAGAGGACACUAAAGAUCAAAGUGCUACUUUACAACAUUUUGAAGAAAACAACUGCUACCUGUGUAUUAGUUUGUUCAGAUGUGUUACACAGCUUAGCUGUGUCUGUACCAGUUUAUUAGAAUCAAAGUAUUUUUAAAGUACCUAAGGCCAGGCACAGUGGCUCACACCUGUAAUCCCAGCACUUUGGGAGGCUGAGGCAAGUGGAUCACUUGAGAUCAGGAAUUCAAGACCAGCCUGGCCAACAUGGUGAAACCCCAUCUCUACUAAAAAUACAAAAAUUAGCCAGGCAUGGUGUCACAUGCCUGUAAUCCCAGUGACUCAAGAGGCUGAGGUAUGAGAAUCAAUCAUUUGAACUCAGAAGGAGAGGUUGCAGUGAGUGGAGAUUGCAACACUGUACUCCAGCCUGGGUGACAGAGUGAGAUCCUGUCUCAAAAAAAAAAAAAAAAAAAAAAAAAAGUACCUAAAACUUGUGAUACGGUUUGGCCUUGUCCCCACCCAAAUCUCAUAUUGAAUUGAAUUAUGAGGAGAGGUCUUUCCUGCGCUGUUCUUAUGAUAGUGAAUGAGUUUCAUGAGAUCUGAUGGUUUUAAAAAUGGGAGUUUCCCUGCACAAGCUCUCUUUUGUUGCCUGCUGCCAUCCACGUAAGAUGUGACUUGCUCCUCUUUACCUUCCACCAUGAUUUUGAGGCCUCCCCAGUCCUGUGGAACUGUAAGUUCAAUAAACCUCUUUCUUUUGUAAAUUG
Pan troglodytes (chimpanzee) is the source of this 1961-nucleotide long non-coding RNA. RefSeq lists it as uncharacterized. The transcript has 3 exons. Lineage: Eukaryota; Metazoa; Chordata; Mammalia; Primates; Hominidae. The record is from RefSeq and is a predicted model, not a curated record.